UUGAAGUGGCAACUGUAUGAUGCAUGCUUUCGUUAAAUCUGAUGUUAAUUAUUUUGAAUUUAGCUUGCUUAAUUUUGUUAUUUCCUGUUAGUAUUUUGCAUAGUAGUAGUGACAUGCUCCCCCAGCAUUUCUUAUUCUCAACUAUGGCAUUUGGGAAAAAUUGGCUUAUUCAGUCUGGUGUAACUUAUUAAUUUUUGUUCUUGAAGAUGACUCCCUUUUGAAUGUUAAUCAAAUUGUCACAGUAUAUGGACAAACCUCCUGAAG
RNAcentral lists this unclassified non-coding RNA (264 nucleotides) under Hevea brasiliensis (rubber tree). The record is from RNAcentral. Lineage: Eukaryota; Viridiplantae; Streptophyta; Magnoliopsida; Malpighiales; Euphorbiaceae.